This 497-nucleotide ribosomal RNA is filed under the name uncultured bacterium. RNAcentral's name for it is "partial 16S ribosomal RNA". It matches the Rfam family "Bacterial small subunit ribosomal RNA", at positions 28 to 507 of the family's 1533-position model. The record is from RNAcentral.
GACGAACGCUGGCGGCGUGCCUAAUACAUGCAAGUAGAACGCUGAAGAGAGGAGCUUGCUCUUCUUGGAUGAGUUGCGAACGGGUGAGUAACGCGUAGGUAACCUGCCUUGUAGCGGGGGAUAACUAUUGGAAACGAUAGCUAAUACCGCAUAACAAUGGAUGACACAUGUCAUUUAUUUGAAAGGGGCAAUUGCUCCACUACAAGAUGGACCUGCGUUGUAUUAGCUAGUAGGUGAGGUAAUGGCUCACCUAGGCGACGAUACAUAGCCGACCUGAGAGGGUGAUCGGCCACCCUGGGACUGAGACACGGCCCAGACUCCUACGGGAGGCAGCAGUAGGGAAUCUUCGGCAAUGGGGGCAACCCUGACCGAGCAACGCCGCGUGAGUGAAGAAGGUUUUCGGAUCGUAAAGCUCUGUUGUAAGUCAAGAACGGGUGUGAGAGUGGAAAGUUCACACUGUGACGGUAGCUGACCAGAAAGGGACGGCUAACUACGUG